GCUGCCGGAAGACCCCGCCCCUCUUCCAGCAUCCUCCCACCUCGUGGCUCUGCCUGUGCUCCCCACUAACCUGCAGAGCCAUGGUGCUCCUGAAGUGAUGUGCCGGAGCCAGCUAGCCACCUGCAUUUGCUGCCUCCCCUAAGGUAUGCCUCUAAUACUCUAUGAAAGAAUGGGAAAGAAACCACAAAGAUGACUGGAA
Molecule: long non-coding RNA, 199 nt
Organism: Gavialis gangeticus (Gharial)
Lineage: Eukaryota; Metazoa; Chordata; Crocodylia; Gavialidae
Exons: 2
Source: RefSeq, a predicted model, not a curated record